GAGGGUAUAGCUCAGUGCUAAGAGCACUUGCCUAACAUGCACAAGGCCUUGGGUUUGAAUCCCAGUUUCUGUG
Molecule: transfer RNA, 73 nt
Filed under: Mus musculus (house mouse)
Lineage: Eukaryota; Metazoa; Chordata; Mammalia; Rodentia; Muridae
Rfam family: tRNA
About the family: Transfer RNA (tRNA) molecules are approximately 80 nucleotides in length. Their secondary structure includes four short double-helical elements and three loops (D, anti-codon, and T loops).
Source: Rfam by way of RNAcentral